RNAcentral lists this transfer RNA (83 nucleotides) under Symploca sp. SIO2C1. RNAcentral's name for it is "tRNA-Tyr". It matches the Rfam family "tRNA". Rfam says of the family: Transfer RNA (tRNA) molecules are approximately 80 nucleotides in length. Their secondary structure includes four short double-helical elements and three loops (D, anti-codon, and T loops). Further hydrogen bonds mediate the characteristic L-shaped molecular structure. tRNAs have two regions of fundamental functional importance: the anti-codon, which is responsible for specific mRNA codon recognition, and the 3' end, to which the tRNAs corresponding amino acid is attached (by aminoacyl-tRNA synthetases). tRNAs cope with the degeneracy of the genetic code in two manners: having more than one tRNA (with a specific anti-codon) for a particular amino acid; and 'wobble' base-pairing, i.e. permitting non-standard base-pairing at the 3rd anti-codon position. Lineage: Bacteria; Bacillati; Cyanobacteriota; Cyanophyceae; Coleofasciculales; Coleofasciculaceae. The record is from RNAcentral.
GGGUCGGCUCGCCUAUUAGGGUGGGCAGCGGUCUGUAAAACCGUCGUUUCUAUACAUUGCAGGUGCGAAUCCUGCCCGGCCCA